RNAcentral lists this long non-coding RNA (428 nucleotides) under Gossypium raimondii (Peruvian cotton). RNAcentral's name for it is "long non-coding RNA (GRAI_LNC002187)". The record is from RNAcentral. Lineage: Eukaryota; Viridiplantae; Streptophyta; Magnoliopsida; Malvales; Malvaceae.
GUGUAUCCAAUGUGUGGUGAUAGAGCCCACUUUUAUAUUUCUAUUCUCAAGUUGUCAAUUUAUCGAUUAAUGAAUUGUGUAUGAAAUGUAAUGCAUGUGAAUAGAAUGUUAGAUGUAUUAGAAAGAGAUGCAUUGAUAGGAGGUUGCGCGCGGACCAAGAUUGAGUUGCCAAGUCACGGGAAAAUCCUACGAAAACUAUCAACACCUGGAUCUGAAACGGAAACACAAAAAAAAAAAGAAAAUUAAACUCCAAGACCAAGAAAACCAAAUUGAAAUAGAAAUAGGAUUCUUGGGUGGCAAGAAAGAUUGAAAAUUAUGAAUAAAGGACAUUUCUUGAUGCCAAAGAAUGUUGCAAAACAGAUUCUUGAAUCUUGGAAUGGCUGAAAAUGCAACAAGAACAAUUAAACCAAGUUAAUCAAUCAAUCGGC